GGUGAUCCUUCGCAGUUCAUGUCAAGCGCCCGUUGAGGCUGCGUCGCUGCGCAUCAAAGACGUUUCAAGGGUUGUCGUCUGACCAGUGCUGGGGCAUAACAGCAAGAAGUUGUGCUUCGUCACCCACUCUCGCACUUUUCUGAACUCUCCAGAUUCUUGUGCAGAGGACAUUCCGGCCAGGAAAAGCCACCGAUUAACAGGCUGGUCGUACUGUGGUGCCUAAAAGUCCACAAGUAUAACCGGCAAAACACAAAAAAUUGAAUAAGUCGAGGCGGAAGUAUACACCGAGGAAAAAACAGAAUAUCAGCCUGACUUCCCGAACGUAAGGGGAGACGACUGAAAGAAAUAGUGGCAACCUGAUCUAGGUGCUUCUAUGGCUGUAGUCUGCAGACCCGUGUUCACAAACGUAGUGCUGAGUGAAUUACUGAUAGCUGUGAGGCAACACUUUAAUUUUGUGUUGUGUAAAAUAUGACUGUAAAAAUUGUAAGAUUUUGUUGCUGUUGUAGUCCUUAUUUAAUUACAUGAGACAUGGAUGUCUCAAAUUUUCAGAAAUAUGCCUUUUUAAAAUGCUAUAGUUAUAUGUACUGGAAUAGCUUGAAUAUUGUAAAUUGGUGUACUAAGCACUGAUGUAAAUAAAUUAUUAUAAUAUUAAAA
Molecule: long non-coding RNA, 654 nt
Filed under: Schistocerca americana (American grasshopper)
Lineage: Eukaryota; Metazoa; Arthropoda; Insecta; Orthoptera; Acrididae
Description: uncharacterized LOC124554023
Source: RNAcentral